Molecule: ribosomal RNA, 433 nt
Filed under: uncultured bacterium
Lineage: Bacteria
Description: partial 16S ribosomal RNA
Rfam family: Bacterial small subunit ribosomal RNA
Source: RNAcentral
AACGAACGCUGGCGGCAUGCCUAACACAUGCAAGUCGAACGAGACCUUCGGGUCUAGUGGCGCACGGGUGCGUAACGCGUGGGAACCUGCCCUUAGGUUCGGUAUAACUCCCCGAAAGGGGUGCUAAUACCGGAUAAUGUCUUCGGACCAAAGAUUUAUCGCCUUUGGAUGGGCCCGCGUUGGAUUAGCUAGUUGGUAGGGUAAAAGCCUACCAAGGCGACGAUCCAUAGCUGGUCUGAGAGGAUGAUCAGCCACACUGGGACUGAGACACGGCCCAGACUCCUACGGGAGGCAGCAGUGGGGAAUAUUGGACAAUGGGCGAAAGCCUGAUCCAGCAAUGCCGCGUGAGUGAUGAAGGCCUUAGGGUUGUAAAGCUCUUUUAACCGGGAUGAUAAUGACAGUACCGGGAGAAUAAGCUCCGGCUAACUCCGUG